Molecule: long non-coding RNA, 6772 nt
Organism: Parus major (Great Tit)
Lineage: Eukaryota; Metazoa; Chordata; Aves; Passeriformes; Paridae
Exons: 3
Source: RefSeq, a predicted model, not a curated record
GGGGCAGCCCGGGGGCGGGCGAGGGCCAUUGUUCGCCGUCCGAGCUGCCGGCAUUGGAGCGGGCUCCGGAGGAGCAGCCGGGAGCCCGAUCCUCAGGGAGUCCCGUUGGCAGUGCGCCCUCCCAGCGGGUGCCCGGCGCUACCCGAUGAGCCUGCUCCCGUCCCGCUGCCCCAGCCGCGGCGGGGAGUGUCUGGGGGAUUGAGGCUGCUGCUCGGGCUGUUCGAUGCCCUCCUUGUCCGCGCACCAAUGGUGCUGGGGGCAGGGGUUUCCCUUUCCGGCAGCGCCAUUGUGCCGGGAGAGCCCGCUGGCUCCUGCUGUCCCUCGCGGGUGUGAACUGGGAAUGGGCUCCGGCGAGAGGGACUCGGCUCCGGCAGACACCGCUCCUGGCAAUGGUAAAUCGUAGAGUCGUUCAGGUUGGAAAAUAUCUAAGAUUCUCAAAUCCAGUCGUUAAUCCAGCACUGUCAAGUCCAUAGCGUACAAGGAGACAAGAUGAACAAACAGUGCUCUCCAGGGGCAGUUGGGAUAAACAGGAUCAGCGGAGAUACUGCGGUCCCAUCAUCUAUAAAUGUAGUUUGGUCAUAGACAAGUAAUCUUCUGGGGUGGGAUAAUAAAUCCAAAUAUACACACCGUCCCUUAAAAAUACGGUGUGAUAAUAUGUUGAUGGAGUGUCGGCUAGCUUUCUUUUUCCCUUUUCCAACAAAGUAUAGAUAAAUUAGAUCAUUUUUUACAGGCAUUAAGGCAUGUUCCACUCACCAGACAACACUUUCCUACAGCUUGUUACCAGCUGCUGUUCCACAAUAUAGAGACUUCUGCCACAAACACUGAAGCUUGCCCUGGGGGAAAAAAAGAACAAACCAUAAAAACAAACCACAAAACCAAAACCUUAUCUUCUACAAGGCAUUUUAUUGAGUUAUCUGAUUAAUGUCUCAGUGAAAUACACAGUAUUGCAUCCCCCAACUACAUACAGCUCUUCAUUUAUAUAUUAAAUAGUAGUGACAAUAAUCAAACAAUUACAAGGCUACUGUAAAACAGUAUUGUGUCAGAUUAGAUUUGGAAAGCUGCGUUUUUCUACCUUUUUUUUCCACCCUUUUAACAUUAAGAAAAACAUUAAGACAAUUUUAAAUACCAAACUGAAGAAACAAAAGGAAGACAAGCAAGAAGCAGAUUCUGCUCAUCCAGGAUGUGUAUUUGACUAGAAUAGUGCUCUUCUGAGAAGCAGCUAAACCCUGUGGAAUAAGGGGUGGAGAAUGUGAUAGUUUUGGCUGCAACAGAGUUAAUUUUCUUCACAGUAGGUACUAGCAGGAACAUGGAACUUAACAAUAGCAUAAUGAAACUGCAGUGAACUUCUGGAUGUGAAUUUGCCCAACCCGUGGUUCAUUCUUCAUGCCUGAGAAGGGUUCUGGUAGCCUUGAGGAACUGAAAGGUAAUAUGAGCCAGGCUGGAGACACACAGGGACUCAACACAUGCAGCUCCAUUGGAUUCUAGCUGUGAGGGUACUCCUGUAGCCCAAAUAUUAAAUAUUGAAAUCUGAGAGAAACCUUUAAAUUAAGAUGAAAUGUUUUGCAGUCAUAUAGAGAUGUUAUCAGCUUUGAUCAGCUCUUUUCUUGCAGAAAAAGAAUUAUUGAGAAAGUGGUAAUAUGCACUGUUGCAUAUUACCAUGAUGCAGCUGUUUAAAAGAUGACAUCUUUUUAUUCAACAGGUUCUGCUCCUCUGGGUGAGGGACUGUGCUCAUUAGUCUUUCUUUUAGAACAGGAUUUGAAGCCAAGUACCUAAAAUCUUAGUGGUAGAAUUGUGCAACCUUUUUUAUGUCCACACAUCUGCAUUCUUCCUGAUUCCAGUAAUGCUGUUCUCUCUUUGUCUAGGUGCAUCUCUGGAAGGUAGAAAUAAAGGAAUGAUCCUUGCUUUUUGGUUAAGUAGGUACUUACCAGGAAACAAAUAUCUCUGAACAUGCAAGAGAUGUUAUGUUCAUAUUUGUCCAUUCAGGAGCCCACACUGUUUGUUCCUCUGAAAAGAGAGUACCAUGCAAAGUACAUUUUGUGUGUUAUGUACUGUCAAUAAACGUUUCCAUUAUUGAGCAUUGAUAGGAUAAAACCAGGAAGAAAAGCACUUUGUACUCCAAAUUAAACUUCAAAUGGCAAGGACCAAUAAAGACACCUUAAUGAAUGCUUUUUAAAAGACCUCAAGUGAGGAUUGAGAGAAAUAGAGUAAUAAGAACAGAAUAAUAGUGUCAUUUUAAGGGCAUUUGAGAACAAGAUCACAUUUAUAUCACAUUUCUGAGAAGUGUAAGCCAAGAACAGCAGCCUUGCCCUUCAUCUGCCUCUAAAUACAAACUGCUGCCCUCUCAGUUGCCCUCUGCUUUAGGCUGACAAAGGCAUUCUCAUUGCUGUGCAGCAAAACAGUUUGAAUUAGUCUGGAUUAAAAUUAAUCAUGACUAUUUUUUCUUUCAAGUGAACUUUGAAGUGGACCCAUUCUCCCAUUUAGCUCAUUGCUUGGCAAAGCAAAUACUUAUACUGGCAGCAGGCAGGGAGCAACAAAGGGACAAGAGCAAGCAUUUGGGAACAGAGAAAGGGCAGGACUGUUCUUUUUGGCAGCAGUGCUAUUCUGCUUCCAGAAUUGCAGUGUUAAAGCAUCUCAUUCCAACUCUGUUAGGUUAUUUCUGCUUAUGCUAACAGAACCGAAGCAGAGCAAGCUAUGUUGGGUGGGAGGCUUGAACAAGGCAAUCAAACCCCACACUGUUACAGUGGCCAGGGUGUUCAUUGCUAAUGAGGGCUCGAGUAGUAAAUAGUUUAAAAGCCAACAGUGGAGCAAUCAGUCAUGCAGCUUUUGUGAAGCGAUGUGGAGACCAAAUUCAGAUUUGUGCUGCAGCUGGUUAGCACUGCACUGCCGACACAAAGCAGUUCUAAAGCCAAGGUAGCCAAUUAAUGCAGGCAACUGGCAUAGCAUGUCUUAUACCAUUGCUUUCCUGGCAGCUGGUUUCUUUGUCUGAAAAGAGAGUGUAGUCAGAUCAUCCCUGGUCUGAGACUCUCUUAUCUGUCCCAGGGGCUCUUAUUUGUUGGUACAGUCCUGAGCCUAUAUAUAUCUCAUUUAAAAUUGCCGUAAGAGCAGCAUAGGAGUGAAUGUUUACACCUUCAGGCUGCUUCAGCUCUGAGCGAGGUGUGGGGUCUUCAGCUGCACAACUUUCCUUGUUCCACAAAUAUGCCCUCUAACAAAGAAAGCCAGGAAAAGCAACUACCUUUCAGUAAAAGAAAAAUAUUCUCUUUAUUGUUUAUGUAUAUUGGAAUACUUGCUAAGCUUAAAAGACGUAUUUGAUGGAAAUGAGAAAUUGCUUGUGAUUUGGAAUACGCAAAGCACUUGAUAGCUAUCUGAUCAUGUAACAGUGCAUAGAAAGUUCACUUCCUAGGGCUCUCUGGGCAGAAAAAGCUACAUAUCUUAUUAAGGAGGUGCUUAAAGCAUGUAAUUACCUCAUCUCUUUCCAUGAACAUAGAGUAUCUUUCACACGAUCAAAAAUUCACCUCCAUUAUGCAACUAAUGCUUUUUCAGUCAAGAUGAGCAUGCUUGAUGGUUCCCAGUGUGAUUAGUGGUAGGAUGAGAUGUGUGCUCACCUGAGCCAGUGUCCUGGCAGGAAGCCCACCAUGUUGAGAGAAAUUCUGUUGUGGUGGCACAGAACUGCUAGAGGAUUCACCAAAGGACUCCUGAGAGGGUGCACUGACCUGUAGCCUGCUCACAUCACUGUUUCCAGGAAACUGAAAAACAAGGAGGAGGCCUGAGGCUGGGAACUGUUCUCACUGCUUCUGCAAGUGACCAGCACAAGGGAAAAGUGAGAAUUCAUAAUGCACGAUGACCUUAUCUUAAUUACCAUUGUAUGAUAUUAAAAGGACAAUUUUUCUGAGGCAGCUAAACACCUGUAGACCCCAGGGAUGCAUGUGUUACCAAUCCAUGGGUCUGAGCAGCAUUCCUUACACUUGUAAAAUCAUAUUGCUGGAUUGUCACAUUUGGCUAAAAGAAUUUACUGACAAGAGUUGAUGAAGAGAUGUGUUCCCUAUGUGUUUGCUCAUACUGAUGAUGAUUCUGGGUUCAUGAAAUACGAAGUUCAAGGUGUUCUUUCUGCAAUCAACAUGCUGUGGGAAGCAAUGAAACUGAAAAAUUUCUGCUCAUUCCCCAUACCAGCCUUAGAAUGAAAUUUUGAACUCAAGAAGAAAAAUGUGCAGUUUCUUUUGUUUGUGCAGCUUUUAAUCAUAUUUGUAUAGGUAAGAAGUGUUUGAAAUUAUUACAAAGUUCUACCUCUUGAUUACUUCAAGUCUCUAUUGCAUGAGAGGAUUUUUUUAAGGCUAUGGACCCACAUUUCUAGCAAAAUUCUCUGUAUUUAAAAUCUGCCCAUUGCCUCAUAUAGCAUUCUUUUUGCACGUUUCUAUUCCUUCAGCUUUUCUACUCAUCUGUUACAAACAAUUAAAUCACUGGAUUUUUCAUUGUUUGAAAUAACUGGUUGCAUUACCAUCUGGAAACAAUACAUUUUAAGUGCAUAAUUACGGAUGUUUGAAAUCCCAGGAACCCAACUUUAUAUGCACAGGACUAGAAGGCAGCACACUCGGAAAUGGGAAAUGUAUUGUCAGCUGUGUGAUGAACAGUUAAGAGGAAAGGAGGAGCAACUCCACCAUUUGUCUGCUGUCUUCAUGCCACUAGCCUGAGAAAGCUAAAUUGAGAUUUGACUGCAGAGCAAAAGGGAAUGUUUUUGACCGCUCUCACUUGCACUGAAUUUUAAUGAUUGCAGUGGCACAAGGGGACCCUAGCUGAGCUGUAGCCUCUAAGUCCUCACCCUUCUUAUUGUAAGGCUGGAAAUCUGACUUUACACUAGUUUCCAGGAAGUGCAGAGAUGAAGCACAUUACACAACAGGACUGUGGAGUAUAACCAUGUGCAUAAUAACUUCAUGGUGCACAAUGUUUCAUUAUUCUGAAACAGAAGCUGCAAUAUUGGAUAUUGAAUGUCUGCAAAAUAAGAAUAACUCAAAGACACAACAGUUAGUCAAAACUUAGCUAAAGCACUGGCUAUUAGCUAAAUUUUGACAAGUCUAAAUGGCUGAUUCCGUCCUCUUUCCUACCCUUCCUUUCUCUACAUAUGACCUAUUUCACAAUGUAUUCAUUCACCAAAUGUAUUCCAACUGAAAAUAGUUGGAUAGGUCCUCAUGCUUCACCAAUAUCAGCUGCAGGCCCAGCUCAGCCUCAGAAAUCACAUCAGAGCAAGUACUUCAUACUGAUGAAAAGGCAUCAAGCCUUUUAAUAACUAAAAGGCUUUAAUAACUAACUUUUAAACUAAAAUAAUAAUAAUAAUGAUAAUAAUAAUGAUAAUAAUAGUAAUAAGUAAAGGAGUUCAUUACAUACAAGCCCAAACACACCAUCAAAUGUAAAUUCUACUUAGCUUUUUUUUGUAGUGUCUUUAUUCCCACUUCUUCAUUAUCUUUCUGAAUUUUCUUCCCUAGGAUUACUUUGCACUGAAAGACAUUUAGCUUCUAGUUCUAUCAAGUUAUUGUCUGACAGGGCACACAUCCCUCCAUUCCCCUACUAUCAAAUUUCAGUACUAGUUGGCUGAGAAGAAAACCUCAAACCUCCGAUCUGCAUAAAUGUCUCCUUGAUUAAAAGUAUUCCUCCUAAAUCAACAAGUUAAAAUCCAUACAACCAAGUUUACCUAUGUGAAAUUUAUUUCUCCAUUUCCAAAUCAGUCUACUUCAGGGCAAUAAACCAUGCCUCUUCUGUUCAGUUUUGUAAUGCACAUAUCAUUUUUGUUUGAAUUAAUGUAUAAAGUGCACAUGCAAAAUCAAUAUAUCAGAUUUCCUAAAACCCACAUGUGGAAUUAGCUUUUCACACCAGUAAUUCCCACACACACCCCAGCUUUGCUUUACCAGCAGCUCGUUACAGCCAGGUAAAACUGCAAGAGUACAGUUCAUUGAAUGAGAGCAUUAGACAUAGGACAAGAAGGCCUUGACACAGUGAAUGGAAAGGGACUAACAUAUUGCAUUAAAAAGAGAACAAAACCUAUUUUAAAAUAAAAGUCAAAAGAAAUCCUGAUUUCAGUUGGAAAAAACCAAACAUGCCCAAGCAUCUGUCGGUAGGAUAACUAGCUUUACACUCUUGGGUAUUGAGAAAGAGCCUUUCCAACUCCCUCAGACUGUGUAUGUUUUAUUGUAUAAAGAUAGAUGCCCUGCACUGCACUAAGCCUGCACAAUAUAUUGCUAAAAGUUGUAUAUAAUGCCAGAUGUUUCUAAACAUUUUAAAAUAUUUGUAUAUAUUUUCUUAAAUAAAUAAGAUUCAGAAAAAAUCAAAAUGGGAGAAACAAUCAAACUGAAUAAAGGCAUUUCUUUUUCUCUUUGGAAUAAAAUAAAUGGCAUCUAUUGACUCAUGAUACCCUGACUGAGACACAUAUAAGAAAGAAUGUGAUUAAACAGCAUUCAUUUGGUGCAUUGUUUAUGUAUUCAGCUCUGAUUAUAAUGUUCCAAAGACAAUAAAUCAUUGAUUUUAAUUUACUUUAUUGUGCUAAAGAAAAGAGUAAAUUAAAUGUAGAAUUUAUUUAUCCUUUCUCUUGUACUCUGUAAUAAUCCAGAUGGAGCAUAUACAUUUUCUAUUUAAUGACACUAGCAUGAUUAAGCAUUAAGACUUAAUGAGUAGUGCAUUUUUUAUGGUUCAUUAAUAAAAGUUAGAGAUAGAAAAGAUGUAUUGGUCAUCAGCUUUAUCUUCUUACUGUGUUUGUACAUUUAUUAAACAGUCAGUAAAUUUGUUUAUA